GCGGGUAUGGUGUAGCGGCAGCACACGACCCUUCCAAGGUCUUAGCAUCGGUUCGAAUCCGAUUACCCGCU
This 71-nucleotide transfer RNA is filed under the name Anaerolineae bacterium. RNAcentral's name for it is "tRNA-Gly". It matches the Rfam family "tRNA". Rfam says of the family: Transfer RNA (tRNA) molecules are approximately 80 nucleotides in length. Their secondary structure includes four short double-helical elements and three loops (D, anti-codon, and T loops). The record is from RNAcentral. Lineage: Bacteria; Bacillati; Chloroflexota; Anaerolineae.